This 468-nucleotide long non-coding RNA is filed under the name Mytilus galloprovincialis (Mediterranean mussel). Lineage: Eukaryota; Metazoa; Mollusca; Bivalvia; Mytilida; Mytilidae. The record is from RNAcentral.
AAAAUUCUUAACGAUAUUUGUAACUAUCGAUAAUCUACUGUCACUUUAAAACAUCAUCUCAUGGUUGGAAUAUCUGCCGAUGGACAGUUUGUUCCUCGAGGAUUUACUGAUUGACAACUUCUAGAAGAUUAACCAGCCAGGUCAAUAAUAUGCAUUUCAACUAUUAGAAAACGAACCGAUAAACUAUAUAAAAUGGAGAAAAAUUAAUGAUUGUUGUCAAGGACAACUCCGAACGAGAGAGAAAGAUGACCCAAUGAUUGGUUUAAAAAAUUGUUACGAAAACAAACUUGUCGAUUUAUCGAAUUUAUCUUCGUACAAAUGUAGUCCAAAAAAUCACACUAAUUCAUGUAUAGUUAUCCAAGUCAGAUAAAAUAAAGCCAUACAUUUUCUAGUCGUUUAAUCUGUACAUACAUUUGAAUGUAUUUAGCUUCAGUACUAAUGUUUGAAAUAAUGAAUGAAACAGCUGUU